AGGCUUUGAUCCUGGCUCAGAAUCAACGCUGGCGGCGUGCCUCAGACAUGCAAGUCGUACGAUUAAAGCUCUCUUCGGAGAGUGUAUAGAGUGGCGCACGGGUGAGUAACACGUAAGUAAUCUACCUUCGAGUGGGGAAUAACUUAGGGAAACUUAAGCUAAUACCGCAUAAUGCAGCGGCACCUAAUGGUGACAGUUGUUAAAGAUUUAUCGCUUGAAGAGGAGCUUGCGGCAGAUUAGCUAGUUGGUAAGGUAAUGGCUUACCAAGGCAACGAUCUGUAUCCGACCUGAGAGGGUGGUCGGACACACUGACACUGAAUAACGGGUCAGACUCCUACGGGAGGCAGCAGUCGGGAAUUUUGGGCAAUGGGCGAAAGCCUGACCCAGCAACGCCGCGUGAAGGAUGAAGUAUUUCGGUAUGUAAACUUCGUAAGAAUGGGAAGAAUAAAUGACGGUACUCAUUUGUAAGCCCCGGCGUA
RNAcentral lists this ribosomal RNA (479 nucleotides) under uncultured Acidobacterium sp. RNAcentral describes it as "bacterial SSU rRNA". It matches the Rfam family "Bacterial small subunit ribosomal RNA", at positions 8 to 500 of the family's 1533-position model. The record is from RNAcentral. Lineage: Bacteria; Pseudomonadati; Acidobacteriota; Terriglobia; Terriglobales; Acidobacteriaceae.